GACGAACGCUGGCGGCGUGCCUAAUACAUGCAAGUCGAGCGGAAGUUGAAGAGCUUGCUCUUCAACUUUAGCGGCGGACGGGUGAGUAACACGUGGGCAACCUGCCCUGCAGAUCGGGAUAACUCCGGGAAACCGGUGCUAAUACCGAAUAGUUUUGGGUCCCUCCUGGGACCUAACGGAAAGACGGUUUCGGCUGUCACUGCAGGAUGGGCCCGCGGCGCAUUAGCUAGUUGGUGGGGUAACGGCCCACCAAGGCGACGAUGCGUAGCCGACCUGAGAGGGUGAUCGGCCACACUGGGACUGAGACACGGCCCAGACUCCUACGGGAGGCAGCAGUAGGGAACCUUCCGCAAUGGACGCAAGUCUGACGGAGCAACGCCGCGUGAGUGAUGAAGGUUUUCGGAUCGUAAAACUCUGUUGCGAGGGAAGAAACCGUGUCAAUUAACUACUGGCACCUCGACGGUACCUCGCCAGAAAGCCACGGCUAACUACGUGCCAGCCGCCGCCGUAA
This 511-nucleotide ribosomal RNA is filed under the name uncultured bacterium. RNAcentral's name for it is "partial 16S ribosomal RNA". It matches the Rfam family "Bacterial small subunit ribosomal RNA", at positions 28 to 523 of the family's 1533-position model. The record is from RNAcentral.